UGCAAUAACUUUAAACCGCUGAGCU
Molecule: microRNA, 25 nt
Filed under: Bombyx mori (domestic silkworm)
Lineage: Eukaryota; Metazoa; Arthropoda; Insecta; Lepidoptera; Bombycidae
Description: bmo-miR-3402
Source: miRBase by way of RNAcentral